RNAcentral lists this long non-coding RNA (577 nucleotides) under Androctonus crassicauda. Lineage: Eukaryota; Metazoa; Arthropoda; Arachnida; Scorpiones; Buthidae. The record is from RNAcentral.
UCUGGGUACAAGUAUGCAAAUUAGCUGGACUAAUAAAAAGUCGACGCUGGAGGGAGCUUCAGUCAAUGUGGUGUCGCCGUCUUGUGUCUUGGUCGUUGUCUGGUGUUGUGGUUCGUCCUGCUUGGAAGACUGUUGUGCACGUCGUGGUUUUUGUCAUCAUCUCAUCUUUUUUGUUUUACUUAAUUCCUACAUUGUGUUUUUCUUACAAGUUUGAUAAGUUGUUUAAGUUAACAUAUUUAUUUCUUUAUAUAAUUAAUAUUGUUUAUUCUAAUAAAAGUUAGUUAAGAUGACUGAUGGUUGGUGAAGUUUCCGAACUGUAAAAAAUUGGCCGGUAGAACACGAACUGAAGGUCACGCUAACGUUUAGCUUUGACAAGAAGGGUCAAGCAGGGGGUCCGAACCUCGACACGAUGUGGGUCAACACCCAAUCAUGACAAAUUAAAUGCACGUUUUUAAAAUUAUGUCAGGUUUCAAAAUUUACAUAAAUUAUAAAUAUGAUAAAUCAUAUAAAAAAUAUAAAUAUUAAUAUAAUUAAGUAUAUACAGUAUGAAUAAAUAACAUCUACUUUUAGAAAAAUC